UUGCAUCAGCACAUGCUUCAGCGCUCCGAGUGUUUAUAGCGUUCAGACUCAAACACUUUAUAACACACUGCUGUUUACCACGGUACAAAACCAACAAACACAAUGAAUCUCUUCAGCAGCUUCAUCUGGAUUCUGACAGCUUUUAUUUCAGCAGCAUCCAGAGGAAUCACUGUGACUCAACCUGAAGUUGUGACUGUUUCUGAAGGACGAGACGCCACUAUAGAGUGUAAAACUGAUGCUGGAAUAGCUGGCUAUGGUUUAGCUUGGUAUCAGCAGAAACCUGGAGAAACUCCUAAACUCAUCAUUUAUGGCAUAAAUGAUCUCUAUGAUGAGAGUUUCAGUCGAUUCAGUGGGAAUGGAAGAUCUGGUGGGACAGAUUUCACUCUGACCAUCAGUGGAGUCCAGACUGAAGAUGCUGCACAUUAUUACUGUCAGAGUUUUCAUGUCAUCAACAGUGAUUAUGUGUUCACACAGUGAUAAAGAGUCGUACAAAAACCUCCGUCAGUCAGAGUCACAGUGACUGAACUGAUUCUGCAGCUGCUCAAACAAUCACUCACACAACAUCAGAUAUUCAUGGAUAUUAAAUGAAAAAUAUCCAUUGAGCUUUCACAUGGUAAAUAUCUCACAUAUUAACACUAUCACUCACUCAACAGUGAAGAAAGAAAUUAAUAUGAUCUAAUAAUAAACAUCAGUUUUG
Labeo rohita (rohu) is the source of this 697-nucleotide non-coding RNA. Lineage: Eukaryota; Metazoa; Chordata; Actinopteri; Cypriniformes; Cyprinidae. The record is from the annotation of a RefSeq genome assembly.